GUCUACGGCCAUGCUACCCUAAAAAAGCCCAAUCCUGUCUGAUCUCGGAAGCUAAGCAGGGUCGGGCCUGGUUAGUACUUGGAAGGGAGACCACCUAGGAAGACCAGGUGCUACAGGUG
Molecule: ribosomal RNA, 119 nt
Filed under: Pteropus alecto (black flying fox)
Lineage: Eukaryota; Metazoa; Chordata; Mammalia; Chiroptera; Pteropodidae
Source: RNAcentral